GGAGUUUGGUCCGUGUCUCAGUACCAAUGUGGGGGACCUUCCUCUCAGAACCCCUACUGAUCGAUGGCUCGGUGGGCCGUUACCCCGCCGACUACCUAAUCAGACGCAUCCCCAUCCCUUAGCGAUAAAUCUUUAAUCCAAAUUAGAUGCCUGCUUCGGAUAACAUAGGGUAUUAAUCCGACUUUCGCCGGGCGUAUGCCCUACUAAGGGGAAGGUUGGAUACGCGUUACUCACCCGUGCGCCGGUCGCCGACAAGGAAAGCAAGCUUCCCUCUCGCUGCCCCUCGACUUGCAUGUGUUAAGCCUGUAGCUAGCGUUCAUC
This 321-nucleotide ribosomal RNA is filed under the name uncultured Prevotella sp. RNAcentral describes it as "partial 16S ribosomal RNA". Lineage: Bacteria; Pseudomonadati; Bacteroidota; Bacteroidia; Bacteroidales; Prevotellaceae. The record is from RNAcentral.